AUUGAACGCUGGCGGCAGGCCUAACACAUGCAAGUCGAGCGGAUGAAGGGAGCUUGCUCCUGGAUUCAGCGGCGGACGGGUGAGUAAUGCCUAGGAAUCUGCCUGGUAGUGGGGGAUAACGUCCGGACACGGGCGCUAAUACCGCAUACGUCCUGAGGGUGAAAGUGGGGGAUCUUCGGACCUCACGCUAUCAGAUGAGCCUAGGUCGGAUUAGCUAGUUGGUGGGGUAAAGGCCUACCAAGGCGACGAUCCGUAACUGGUCUGAGAGGAUGAUCAGUCACACUGGAACUGAGACACGGUCCAGACUCCUACGGGAGGCAGCAGUGGGAAAUAUUGGACAAUGGGCGAAAGCCUGAGCCAGCCAUGCCGCGUGUGUGAAGAAGGUCUUCGGAUUGUAAAGCACUUUAAGUUGGGAGGAAGGGCAGUAGUUAAUACCUUGCUGUUUUGACGUUACCAACAGAAUAAGCACCGGCUAACUUCGUG
RNAcentral lists this ribosomal RNA (483 nucleotides) under uncultured bacterium. Its description in RNAcentral is "partial 16S ribosomal RNA". It matches the Rfam family "Bacterial small subunit ribosomal RNA", at positions 30 to 507 of the family's 1533-position model. The record is from RNAcentral.